GAGUCAACACACCUGCAGCUCU
RNAcentral lists this non-coding RNA (22 nucleotides) under Arabidopsis thaliana (thale cress). Lineage: Eukaryota; Viridiplantae; Streptophyta; Magnoliopsida; Brassicales; Brassicaceae. The record is from RNAcentral.